This 1219-nucleotide ribosomal RNA is filed under the name uncultured Campylobacterota bacterium. RNAcentral's name for it is "bacterial SSU rRNA". It matches the Rfam family "Bacterial small subunit ribosomal RNA", at positions 192 to 1430 of the family's 1533-position model. The record is from RNAcentral. Lineage: Bacteria; Pseudomonadati; Campylobacterota.
GAUGAGUUGGGAAAGUUUUUUCGCUAAAGGAUUGGGCUAUAUGGUAUCAGCUUGUUGGUGAGGUAACGGCUCACCAAGGCUAUGACGCCUAACUGGUCUGAGAGGAUGAUCAGUCACACUGGAACUGAGACACGGUCCAGACUCCUACGGGAGGCAGCAGUGGGGAAUAUUACACAAUGGAGGAAACUCUGAUGUAGCAACGCCGCGUGGAGGAUGACACAUUUCGGUGCGUAAACUCCUUUUAUAUGGGAAGAUAAUGACGGUACCAUAUGAAUAAGCACCGGCUAACUCCGUGCCAGCAGCCGCGGUAAUACGGAGGGUGCAAGCGUUACUCGGAAUCACUGGGCGUAAAGCGCAUGUAGGCGGUCUUGUAAGUUGGGUGUGAAAGCCUAUGGCUCAACCAUAGAACUGCACCCAAAACUACUAGACUAGAGUCUGGGAGAGGAAAAUGGAAUUAGUUGUGUAGGGGUAAAAUCCGUAGAGAUAACUAGGAAUACCAAAAGCGAAGGCAAUUUUCUGGAACAGUACUGACGCUCAGAUGCGAAAGCGUGGGUAGCAAACAGGAUUAGAUACCCUGGUAGUCCACGCCCUAAACGAUGAAUGUUAGUCGUCGGGAGGCUCGUCCUUUCGGUGAUGCAGCUAACGCAUUAAACAUUCCGCCUGGGGAGUACGGUCGCAAGAUUAAAACUCAAAGGAAUAGGCGGGGACCCGCACAAGUGGUGGAGCAUGUGGUUAAUUCGAAGAUACGCGAAGAACCUUACCUAGCCUUGACAUUGAUAGAAUCCGAUGGAAACAUUGGAGUGCCAGUUUACUGGAGCUUGAAAACAGGUGCUGCACGGCUGUCGUCAGCUCGUGUCGUGAGAUGUUGGGUUAAGUCCCGCAACGAGCGCAACCCUCGUCCUUAGUUACUAACGGUUCGGCCGAGGACUCUAAGGAGACUGCCUUCGUAAGGAGGAGGAAGGUGAGGACGACGUCANNUCAUCAUGGCCCUUACGGCUAGGGCGACACACGUGCUACAAUGGAUAGGACAAUGAGACGCAAUACCGCGAGGUGGAGCAAAUCUAUAAACCUAUUCUCAGUUCGGAUUGUAGUCUGCAACUCGACUACAUGAAGCUGGAAUCACUAGUAAUCGUAGAUCAGCCAUGCUACGGUGAAUACGUUCCCGGGUCUUGUACUCACCGCCCGUCACACCGUGGGAGUUGAUUUCACCCGAAGCGGG